UCGGGGGACAAAGUGACAGGUGGUGCAUGGUUGUCGUCAGCUCGUGUCGUGAGAUGUUGGGUUAAGUCCCGCAACGAGCGCAACCCUUAAGCUUAGUUGCCAUCAUUAAGUUGGGCACUCUAAGUUGACUGCCGGUGACAAACCGGAGGAAGGUGGGGAUGACGUCAAAUCAUCAUGCCCCUUAUGAUUUGGGCUACACACGUGCUACAAUGGACAAUACAAAGGGCAGCGAAACCGCGAGGUCAAGCAAAUCCCAUAAAGUUGUUCUCAGUUCGGAUUGUAGUCUGCAACUCGACUACAUGAAGCUGGAAUCGCUAGUAAUCGUAGAUCAGCAUGCUACGGUGAAUACGUUCCCGGGUCUUGUACACACCGCCCGUCACACCACGAGAGUUUGUAACACCCGAAGCCGGUGGAGUAACCUUUUAGGAGCUAGCCGUCGAAGGUGGGACAAAUGAUUGGGGUGAAGUCGUAACAAGGUAGCCGUAUCGGAAGGUGCGGCUGGAUCACCUCCUUU
RNAcentral lists this ribosomal RNA (514 nucleotides) under Staphylococcus aureus. RNAcentral describes it as "bacterial SSU rRNA". It matches the Rfam family "Bacterial small subunit ribosomal RNA", at positions 1019 to 1533 of the family's 1533-position model. The record is from RNAcentral. Lineage: Bacteria; Bacillati; Bacillota; Bacilli; Caryophanales; Staphylococcaceae.